GAUGAACGCUGGCGGCGUGCCUAAUACAUGCAAGUCGAGCGAACAGACGAGGAGCUUGCUCCUCUGACGUUAGCGGCGGACGGGUGAGUAACACGUGGAUAACCUACCUAUAAGACUGGGAUAACUUCGGGAAACCGGAGCUAAUACCGGAUAAUAUAUUGAACCGCAGGGUUCAAUAGUGAAAGACGGUUUUGCUGUCACUUAUAGAUGAAUCCGCGCCGCAUUAGCUAGUUGGUAAGGUAACGGCUUACCAAGGCAACGAUGCGUAGCCGACCUGAGAGGGUGAUCGGCCACACUGGAACUGAGACACGGUCCAGACUCCUACGGGAGGCAGCAGUAGGGAAUCUUCCGCAAUGGGCGAAAGCCUGACGGAGCAACGCCGCGUGAGUGAUGAAGGUCUUCGGAUCGUAAAACUCUGUUAUUAGGGAAGAACAAAUGUGUAAGUAACUAUGCACGUCUUGACGGUACCUAAUCAGAAAGCCACGGCUAACUACGUG
Molecule: ribosomal RNA, 497 nt
Filed under: uncultured bacterium
Lineage: Bacteria
Description: partial 16S ribosomal RNA
Rfam family: Bacterial small subunit ribosomal RNA
Source: RNAcentral